Molecule: long non-coding RNA, 750 nt
Organism: Oncorhynchus nerka (sockeye salmon)
Lineage: Eukaryota; Metazoa; Chordata; Actinopteri; Salmoniformes; Salmonidae
Exons: 3
Source: RefSeq, a predicted model, not a curated record
CUACACAAAACAUUAGUUUCCAUUCAUACAAAGUAUCGGGUAAAUUGCCAAGGUAGAUUUGGCAUGGUAAUAGAGGAAAUAGUUUAUUUCUUUUGUAUGGAAUGCUUGUCAAAUAGAUAAAUCACCCUUAGUCUGUUCAAAAAGGACUAAGUUGUUGCGAUGACAACACCAACCAGAGGGCGAACAUAGCAUCUUUCAGGGAGCUGUAAUGAGGUGACCAAUAAUGGGUGCAAUUAAGAUCAGCUGUGCAGGUUCAUUUAGCAUGUAUCGGUGGUUUAACAAGACCAGCUGGCAAUAAUAAGGUUGCUACCUUUUGAGGCAGAAUUUCCAGGCAAGAUUUCCAAAUUGGCAUGUCCCAAUCCCAUGUAUCCAUCGCCGAGAGGCUAUUACAUAACACCUUGCAGCGCAGCAAAAAUAAUUGACGACGGACAGAAGUCCCCACUUGGGAGAACAUUUUCCAGAAAUCCACAAAAUAGACUAAAGUGGCACCUGAUCACGUUUCACUCCAUUGUAUUGGCUUGGCAGGAGAAAAACAGUCCUGUAUGACUCGUUUGAAAGUUGAAUGAUAUUCCACCCUGCAGAUGUAAGGAACUUAUUGUGAACCUCCCAGCCAACAGGAUAAUCAACAUAUCCCAGGAUAUUAUUUAGGAGUGUGCCAACCUCACAAUGUUAGAAAUAGAUUCACCCAUGAUAGUAUUUAUCAUGCAGAUUUGUCAGGACAUUGUAAUUCAUAAAGCUCAUUCUGAAAUA